This 108-nucleotide ribosomal RNA is filed under the name uncultured bacterium. Its description in RNAcentral is "partial 16S ribosomal RNA". It matches the Rfam family "Bacterial small subunit ribosomal RNA", at positions 1380 to 1485 of the family's 1533-position model. The record is from RNAcentral.
CUUGUACACACCGCCCGUCAAGCCAACAAAGUUGGGGGCACCCGAAGUCAGUUGUCUAACCCGCAAGGGAGGACGCUGCCGAAGGUGAACUCAGCGAUGGGGACUUAA